UCUCUGGUGGCUCAGAUGGUAGAGAAUCCACCUGCAAUGUGGGAGACCUGGAUUCCAUCCCCAGGUUGAGAA
RNAcentral lists this transfer RNA (72 nucleotides) under Bos taurus (domestic cattle). It matches the Rfam family "tRNA". From Rfam's summary of the family: Transfer RNA (tRNA) molecules are approximately 80 nucleotides in length. Their secondary structure includes four short double-helical elements and three loops (D, anti-codon, and T loops). Lineage: Eukaryota; Metazoa; Chordata; Mammalia; Artiodactyla; Bovidae. The record is from Rfam by way of RNAcentral. RNAcentral also lists the same sequence under 4 other names.